This 2037-nucleotide ribosomal RNA is filed under the name metagenome. RNAcentral's name for it is "bacterial LSU rRNA". It matches the Rfam family "Bacterial large subunit ribosomal RNA", at positions 502 to 2555 of the family's 2925-position model. The record is from RNAcentral.
CGUGAGGGAAAGGUGAAAAGAACCCCGGGAGGGGAGUGAAAGAGAACCUGAAACCGUGAGCUUACAAGCAGACAGAGCACCAUAUGCGUGUGAUGUCGUACUUUUUGUAGAACGGGCCGGCGAGUUACGAUGUGAUGCGAGGUUAAGUGCCACAGGCACGGAGCCGAAGCGAAAGCGAGUUUGAAGAGAGCGAAAAGUAUCAUGUCGUAGACCCGAAACCUGAUGACCUAACCAUGAACAGGUUGAAGCAAUGGUAAAACGUUGUGGAGGACCGAACACACGCCUGUUGAAAUAGUCGGUGAUGAUUUGUGGUUAGCGGAGAAAUUCCAAACGAAUCGGGAUAUAGCUGGUUCUCCUCGAAAUAGCUUUAGGGCUAGCCUCACAUGUAGAUCACCGCAGGUAGAGCACUGAAUGGCCUAGGGGGCUUCACGGCUUACCGAAGCUUAUUAAACUCCGAAUGGCGGAUAAUCGAUGAACGGGAGUCAGACUGCGACAGACAAGUGCCGUAGUCAAAAGGGAAACAGCCCAGAUCCACAGCUAAGGUCCCAAAGUACAGGUUAAGUGGGAAAGGAUGUGAAAUUGCACAGACAACCGGGAUGUUGGCUCAGAAGCAGCCACACAUUAAAAGAGUGCGUAAUAGCUCACCGGUCGAGUGAUUUUGCGCCGAAAAUUAACGGGGCUCAAACCUGACACCGAAGCUUGGGAAUGUACGAAGUACAUUGGUAGAGGAGCAAUGCGUACGGGCAGAAGCCAUACCGGAAGGAGUGGUGGACUGUACGGAAGAGAGAAUGCCGGCAUAAGUAGCGAGAGGGGUGCGAGAAACGCCCCCGUCGAAAGUCUGAGGUUUCCUGGGGAAGGUUCGUCCGCCCAGGGUAAGUCGGGACCUAAGUCGAGGCCGAAAGGCGUAGAUGAUGGACAACAGGUUGAAAUUCCUGUACUACCGAAUAAGAUAAUGAAGCAGUGACACGGAAGGAUAGUCUGAGCGUGCGGAUGGAAAAGCACGUCCAAGCGGAAGCGUAGGCUUGUAGUGAAGUACGCAAGUCGGUAAAGCGUAGCCGUGAUGGGGAGCGGAUUAGAGAAGCGAAGCAGGUGAAUCCAUGCCGGCGAGAAAAGCUGCUAAAUAGUGUGAAGGUGCCCGUACCGCAAACCGACACAGGUAGACGAGAAGAAAAUUCUAAGACGAACGGGAGAACCCUUGUUAAGGAACUCGGCAAAUUGACCCCGUAACUUCGGGAGAAGGGGAACCGCGAAAGCGGUCACAGAAAAGAGGCCCAAGCGACUGUUUAUCAAAAACACAGGUUUCUGCGAAAGCGCAAGCUGACGUAUAGGAGCUGACGCCUGCCCAGUGCCGGAAGGUCAAGGGGACUUGUUAGCGCAAGCGAAGCAACGAACUCAAGCCCCGGUGAACGGCGGCCGUAACUAUAACGGUCCUAAGGUAGCGAAAUUCCUUGUCGGGUAAGUUCCGACCCGCACGAAUGGCGUAACGAUUUGGGCACUGUCUCAACAGGGGGCCCGGCGAAAUUGUAGUAUACGUGAAGAUGCGUAUUAACCCGCGACUGGACGGAGAGACCCCGUAGAGCUUUACUAUAACUUGAUAUUGGAUCACGACAACUGAUGCACAGGAUAGGUGGGACGCUAAGAAGCACCUCUUUCGGGGGGUGUGGAGCGGCCGUUGGGAUACCACUCUUCGGUUGUUGGGAUUCUAACCGAAUGCCGUGAAUCCGGGUUUGGGACAGUGUCAGGCGGGUAGUUUGACUGGGGCGGUCGCCUCCUAAACGGUAACGGAGGCGCCCAAAGGUUCCCUCAGAAUGGUUGGAAAUCAUUCGUCGAGUGUAAAGGCACAAGGGAGCUUGACUGUGAGACAGACAUGUCGAACAGGUGCGAAAGCAGGGCUUAGUGAUCAGGCGGUAGAGAAUGGAAUUGCCGUCGCUUAACGGAUAAAAGUUACCUCGGGGAUAACAGGCUGAUCUCCCCCAAGAGUUCACAUCGACGGGGAGGUUUGGCACCUCGAUGUCGGCUCAUCGCAUCCUGGGGCUG